AUUGAACGCUGGCGGCAUGCUUUACACAUGCAAGUCGAACGGUAACAGGCCGCAAGGUGCUGACGAGUGGCGAACGGGUGAGUAAUGCAUCGGAACGUGCCCAGUCGUGGGGGAUAACGCAGCGAAAGCUGUGCUAAUACCGCAUACGAUCUAUGGAUGAAAGCGGGGGACCGUAAGGCCUCGCGCGAUUGGAGCGGCCGAUGUCAGAUUAGGUAGUUGGUGGGGUAAAGGCCCACCAAGCCAACGAUCUGUAGCUGGUCUGAGAGGACGACCGGCCACACUGGGACUGAGACACGGCCCAGACUCCUACGGGAGGCAGCAGUGGGGAAUUUUGGACAAUGGGCGCAAGUCUGAUCCAGCAAUGCCGCGUGCAGGAAGAAGGCCUUCGGGUUGUAAACUGCUUUUGUACGGAACGAAAAGGUCUGGGUUAAUACCCUGGGCCGAUGACGGUACCGUAAGAAUAAGCACCGGCUAACUACGUGCCAGCCGCCGCGGUAA
RNAcentral lists this ribosomal RNA (498 nucleotides) under uncultured bacterium. Its description in RNAcentral is "partial 16S ribosomal RNA". It matches the Rfam family "Bacterial small subunit ribosomal RNA", at positions 29 to 523 of the family's 1533-position model. The record is from RNAcentral.